RNAcentral lists this RNase P RNA (411 nucleotides) under Acetobacter suratthaniensis. Its description in RNAcentral is "RNase P RNA component class A". It matches the Rfam family "Bacterial RNase P class A". Rfam says of the family: Ribonuclease P (RNase P) is a ubiquitous endoribonuclease, found in archaea, bacteria and eukarya as well as chloroplasts and mitochondria. Its best characterised activity is the generation of mature 5'-ends of tRNAs by cleaving the 5'-leader elements of precursor-tRNAs. Lineage: Bacteria; Pseudomonadati; Pseudomonadota; Alphaproteobacteria; Acetobacterales; Acetobacteraceae. The record is from RNAcentral.
CCAGACGGUCGGACGGUCGCUGUGGCGUAUGCAAAUACGCGAUGGAGGAAAGUCCGGGCUCCACGGGAGAACGGUGCCGGUUAACGACCGGCGAGGGUGACCUUAGGGAAAGUGCCACAGAAAACAGACCGCCUUCCGGGUCUGCCAUGGGAAAUCAUGGGAGGCUGAAGGUAAGGGUGAAACGGUGCGGUAAGAGCGCACCGCUCCGAUGGUAACAGAGGAGGCAGGGCAAACCCCACCGGGAGCAAGACCGAAUAGGAGCGGCCGAAAUCCGCAUGGAUUUCAGGGGUUCUCCCGCCCCGUCGCUCGGGUUGGUUGCGUGAGGCACGCCGCAAGGCGGGUCCCAGAGGAAUGACCGUCCAGGCCCCUUCGGGGGCUAGACAGAACCCGGCUUACAGACCGUCUGGCAUU